Carassius gibelio (silver crucian carp) is the source of this 1946-nucleotide long non-coding RNA. RefSeq lists it as uncharacterized. Lineage: Eukaryota; Metazoa; Chordata; Actinopteri; Cypriniformes; Cyprinidae. The transcript has 3 exons. The record is from RefSeq and is a predicted model, not a curated record.
AGGAGCAUGCAUAUGAUGAAACUAGCUGUUUUAAAGCAUAUCUAGCACAGAACAGCGUUUCUGAGUGAGAAUAGCAUAUUUCUAGUGGCAAUGUAACUUUUCAUGCAAAAGUGACCAAUUCUGCCUAAAAUGCUCCCAGGAGCAUGCAAAUGAUGAAACUAGCUGUUUUAAAGCAUAUCUAGCUCAGAACAGCGUUUCUGAGUGAGAAUAGCAUAUUUCUAGUGGCAAUGUAACUUUUCAUGCAAAAGUGACCAAUUCUGCCUAAAAUGCUCCCAGGAGCAUGCAUAUGAUGAAACUAGCUGUUUUAAAGCAUAUCUAGCACAGAACAGCGUUUCUGAGAGAGAAUAGCAUAUUUCUAGUGGCAAUGUAACUUUUCAUGCAAAAGUGACCAAUUCUGCCUAAAAUGCUCCCAGGAGCAUGCAUAUGAUGAAACUAGCUGUUUUAAAGCAUAUCUAGCACAGAACAGCGUUUCUGAGUGAGAAUAGCAUAUUUCUAGUGGCAAUGUAACUUUUCAUGCAAAAGUGACCAAUUCUGCCUAAAAUGCUCCCAGGAGCAUGCAUAUGAUGAAACUAGCUGUUUUAAAGCAUAUCUAGCACAGAACAGCGUUUCUGAGUGAGAAUAGCAUAUUUCUAGUGGCAAUGUAACUUUUCAUGCAAAAGUGACCAAUUCUGCCUAAAAUGCUCCCAGGAGCAUGCAUAUGAUGAAACUAGCUGUUUUAAAGCAUAUCUAGCUCAGAACAGCGUUUCUGAGUGAGAAUAGCAUAUUUCUAGUGGCAAUGUAACUUUUCAUGCAAAAGUGACCAAUUCUGCCUAAAAUGCUCCCAGGAGCAUGCAUAUGAUGAAACUAGCUGUUUUAAAGCAUAUCUAGCACAGAACAGCGUUUCUGAGUGAGAAUAGCAUAUUUCUAGUGGCAAUGUAACUUUUCAUGCAAAAGUGACCAAUUCUGCCUAAAAUGCUCCCAGGAGCAUGCAUAUGAUGAAACUAGCUGUUUUAAAGCAUAUCUAGCUCAGAACAGCGUUUCUGAGUGAGAAUAGCAUAUUUCUAGUGGCAAUGUAACUUUUCAUGCAAAAGUGACCAAUUCUGCCUAAAAUGCUCCCAGGAGCAUGCAUAUGAUGAAACUAGCUGUUUUAAAGCAUAUCUAGCACAGAACAGCGUUUCUGAGUGAGAAUAGCAUAUUUCUAGUGGCAAUGUAACUUUUCAUGCAAAAGUGACCAAUUCUGCCUAAAAUGCUCCCAGGAGCAUGCAUAUGAUGAAACUAGCUGUUUUAAAGCAUAUCUAGCUCAGAACAGCGUUUCUGAGUGAGAAUAGCAUAUUUCUAGUGGCAAUGUAACUUUUCAUGCAAAAGUGACCAAUUCUGCCUAAAAUGCUCCCAGGAGCAUGCAUAUGAUGAAACUAGCUGUUUUAAAGCAUAUCUAGCUCAGAACAGCGUUUCUGAGUGAGAAUAGCAUAUUUCUAGUGGCAAUGUAACUUUUCAUGCAAAAUGACCAAUUCUGCCUAAAAUGCUCCCAGGAGCAUGCAUAUGAUGAAACUAGCUGUUUUAAAGCAUAUCUAGCUCAGAACAGCGUUUCUGAGUGAGAAUAGCAUAUUUCUAGUGGCAAUGUAACUUUUCAUGCAAAGUGACCAAUUCUGCCUAAAGUGCUCCCAGGAGCAUGCAUAUGAUGAAACUAGCUGUUUUAAAGCAUAUCUAGCACAGAACAGCGUUUCUGAGUGAGAAUAGCAUAUUUCUAGUGGCAAUGUAACUUUUCAUGCAAAAGUGACCAAUUCUGCCUAAAGUGCUCCCAGGAGCAUGCAUAUGAUGAAACUAGCUGUUUUAAAGCAUAUCUAGCACAGAACAGCGUUUCUGAGUGAGAAUAGCAUAUUUCUAGUGGCAAUGUAACUUUUCAUGCAAAAGUGACCAAUUCUGCCUAAAAUGCUCCCAGGAGCAUGCAUAUGAUGAAACUAGCUGUU